Molecule: ribosomal RNA, 1467 nt
Filed under: uncultured bacterium
Lineage: Bacteria
Description: bacterial SSU rRNA
Rfam family: Bacterial small subunit ribosomal RNA
Source: RNAcentral
AGAGUUUGAUCCUGGCUCAGGAUGAACGUUGGCGGCGUGCCUAACACAUGCAAGUCGAACGGGAAGCUCGGUUUCGAUCGAGUGGAGAGUGGCGCACGGGUGAGUAACACGUAACUGAUCUGCCCUAGAGAGGGGGAUAACUACUGGAAACAGUAGCUAAAACCCCAUAAGCUCACGCUUUUUAGAAAGGUGUGAGAAAAACUCCGGUGCUCUAGGAUGAGGUUGCGUCCCAUCAGCUAGUUGGUGUGGUAAAGGCACACCAAGGCGACGACGGGUAGGGGACCUGAGAGGGUGACCCCCCACACUGGAACUGAGACACGGUCCAGACUCCUACGGGAGGCAGCAGUGAGGAAUAUUGCACAAUGGACGCAAGUCUGAUGCAGCGACGCCGCGUGGGCGAAGAAGGUUUUCGGAUCGUAAAGCCCUUUUCUAUGUGACGAGAACGGACGGUAGCAUAGGAAUAAGUGUCGGCUAACUACGUGCCAGCAGCCGCGGUAAAACGUAGGACGCGAACGUUAUCCGGAGUUACUGGGCGUAAAGCGCGUGCAGGCGGUUAAGUAAGUUACCUAUGAAAGCUCUCGGCUAAACUGAGAGAGGAUAGGUGAUACUGCUUGACUAGAGUGAGGUAGAGGUGAGUAGAAUUCCAGGUGUAGUGGUGAAAUGCGUAGAUAUCUGGAGGAAUACCAGUGGCGAAGGCGGCUCACUGGCCCUCAACUGACGCUGAGACGCGAAAGCGUGGGUAGCGGACGGGAUUAGAAACCCCGGUAGUCCACGCCGUAAACGAUGUACAUUAGGUGUUCGUAUGCCUGCGGGUAUAUGAGUAUCGAAGCAAACGCGAUAAAUGUACCGCCUGGGGAGUACGGUCGCAAGGCUAAAACUCAAAGGAAUUGACGGGGGCCCGCACAAGCAGCGGAGCGUGUGGUUUAAUUCGAGGCUACGCGAAGAACCUUACCUGGGUUUGACAUGAUAGUAGUACGGAAGCGAAAGCGGAAGGACUCUUCGGAGAGCUAUCACAGGUGCUGCAUGGUUGUCGUCAGCUCGUGCCGUGAGGUGUUCGGUUAAGUCCGCAAACGAGCGCAACCCUCGGUGCUAGUUACAAGUGUCUAGCGCGACUGCCCGUGACAAACGGGAGGAAGGUGGGGAUGACGUCAAAUCAGCAUGGCCUUUAUAUCCAGGGCUACACACACGCUACAAUGGUCGGUACAAUGGGUAGCGAAGCCGCGAGGUGGAGCCAAUCCUCCAAAGCCGAUCUCAGUUCGGGUUGCAGGCUGCAACUCGCCUGCAUGAAGUCGGAGUUGCUAGUAACCGCGUAUCAGCACGGCGCGGUGAAUACGUUCCCGGGCCUUGUACACACCGCCCGUCACACCAUGGGAGUUGGUUUUACCCGAAGAUAGUGGGCUAACCUUUCGAGGGGGCAGCUAGCCACGGUAAGGUCAGCGACUGGGGUGAAGUCGUAACAAGGUAACC